AUGCUGGCGGCGACGGUGGCCGGGUUCCUCGCCGUGCAGGUGGCGAUGCUGUGCGGCAUGGAGUGGAGCGGGGCGCUGCGGGGGAUGAGCGCGUGGGAGAAGGUGUCGAACGCGGUGUUCCUGGCGGUGAACUCCCGCCACGCCGGCGAGUCGACCCUCGACAUCUCCACCCUCGCGCCGGCCAUCCUCGUGCUCUUCGUGCUCAUGAUGUAUCUGCCUUCAUACACCACGUGGUUUCCAUUUGCGGGGAGCUCCGGCACAACGGAUCACGCCGAGGAGACACAGGGUAUCAGGCUGAUCAAGAGCACGGCCUUGUCGCAGCUCUCCUACCUCACCAUCUUCGUCAUCGCCAUCUGCGUCACCGAGAGGGAGAAGCUCAAGGAAGACCCCCUCAACUUCAACCUGCUCAGCAUCGUCGUCGAAGUUGUCAGCGCUUAUGGAAAUGUGGGAUCUCCAUGGGCUACAGUUGCAGCAGGCAGAUCAGCCCGGACCAGCUGUGCACCGACAGGUGGACCGGCUUCGUCGGGAGGUGGAGCGAUUCUGGCAAGCUCGUCCUCAUUCUCGUGA
This 567-nucleotide ribosomal RNA is filed under the name Triticum aestivum (bread wheat). RNAcentral's name for it is "partial small subunit ribosomal RNA". Lineage: Eukaryota; Viridiplantae; Streptophyta; Magnoliopsida; Poales; Poaceae. The record is from RNAcentral.